This 7517-nucleotide long non-coding RNA is filed under the name Brachypodium distachyon (stiff brome). Its description in RNAcentral is "long non-coding RNA (BDIS_LNC005255)". The stretch from base 6270 to 6404 matches the Rfam family "MIR1120/MIR1122 microRNA precursor family". The record is from RNAcentral. Lineage: Eukaryota; Viridiplantae; Streptophyta; Magnoliopsida; Poales; Poaceae.
GAUUGGAUUCUGGUCUCAAGAAGAUGCGGCUUUCAGAUUCUUCUUCGCGGCUCCAAGUGACCGUCCAUCCAGUGCUGUUGAGGGACACGAACAAUGUUUAUCAGAACAAUGUUUAUCAUUUGCAAAACAAGGCUGAGAUGGACGGUAAUUUGCCUGAACACACAUCAAAUAAAACAGUUAAGCCUUUGCGUGGUGCCUGUCCCCUUGCUGCAGAACUUAAGAGAGAGAAGAUCGACAAUGUUGAGUUGCGGGUUGUUACUGACUCCCAGCGCAAACAAUUUGAUGAUCUGGUGAGGCAGUUAAAGGAAUCAGACAAAGCUAUGCUGCCAUCUAAUUCCUCUACACAGUGAUGAACCUGUCUAUAUCAUCAUGGCAGUGCUAGUUCAGCAAAGCAAACUGCCACGGAGAUGAUUCAGCAUGGGCUAUCAAAUCAGAGACAGAAGAAACGAUGAACUGCGGUUGUAUUGUAUGGUCUGUAAUAUACCUCUUGGCACAAGAUCUCUCUCCUCAGUUUAUUGUCUACCAUAGUUUUCUGUUGUUACAAAGUCCACCAUGUUGUUACCGAGGAUCAGAUGUCAAAAAAACUGUUUGUUUUUUCUGCAGAGAUGUACUUACAGUAGUUUCAGUAUCUGCGCAUAUGAAGUUUGCAGUUGCUCUGUCAGUCAGUCAGCACCAGCACAGGAAUGCUGAUAAAUGUAAACUAUAUGCAGUUUACAUGUACUGUACCGCAACAACACAAGAAUGUCAAUUAAUUCCUCGACAUGCCUACCAACUAAACUGCAAAGAAAAUCCUUACCAGUUUGGGACUUGUCAAUUUGGCAACAUGCAAAUUCAUGCGAGGAAUGGGUUGUGUUCAGGCCAGACUAAAAGUAUGCGGACAACCCAGGAACCAAGGUGGAGAGCUUGCAAUUGCAACAUAAUCUUUGUUUCCAUGUUCAAUCUACCAGUUGCAUCUGUAUAUUCACAUAAUGCAUAGAACAAAAUCAGGUCUAAAGCAAGCGCAACGCCAGCCAUUCUUCGCAAGCUAACAAACAGCUGGAAGUGCUAUACAUGGCGCCAACACACAGCCGUCAGAACUGCAUGGCCUCACAACGGAGCUCAGAAAUGCCUUCACAACUUCUGCCGAGGCAUCACUCCUGAGCAAGCAGAAGGCGUAUUUCAUGACCGCGGCAUCACAGGGCGGCGUGAUCCUGCUGUCCACGAACCCAAACUCCUCCAGGGACAUUGUCAGGAGCUCGCUGAAGAGUGCUGUGCUGAGGUAUGGCAGCGGCACCUCGAACUUCCCCCCGCCAGCCGUGUACACGAUGCAGUGGCCCUUCACCGCCACUGAUGAUGUCAGGCAGCACUCAUUGGCUGCUCUCGUCGUUGUCCUUGUGAGCCUCUUCGUCCUGAGGACCGCCAUUCUCUGCCAACUUUUUUCCAUCUGAGCAAGCCUCUUGGCACUGACCAUGGUUGCUUCUUUCUUUCUUGGCUCAAGGUUCAGAAGAGCUUUUGUCUCAGGUGGUAUUCAGGUAGUUGUUGUAGUGCUUGGCUUGUGGAUGAACUUACGAUUAGAUGGUGCUAAGCGGAUAGAUUUAUAGUUGGGGGAGAGAAGCAUAUAGUUUAGGUGCAGCUAUCAUUACAAGUUGGCAAGGGACAGAACGAUGAGGUCAGAACAUGCAAUGCUGCGAUGGUUGUGCAAUGGCAGGAUAGCACUGUGAUCUUUAUUAGAUUUCUCUGGGGCCGACCCCUUUGCUACUUGCAUUGUCUUGGGUGUGCUUGGACAUCACAAUUUGCUUCCAUACUGACCUGUUUUAGUGGCAAGGAUAAGAGGACUACGUGUAAAUUGGGUCCAUUUCUGUUUGUUAUUGAUAAGAUCAGUAUAUCAAGUGGCCCCUGAGAUGGAGAUAUCUUAGUCUGACAGUUGUUCAUAACUUCAUGUUCAUCACAAUUUGUUGCUGAGCAACCGGACUAAAUCUCUUUUGUAGCUUUUGUAAUCUGUUAGCUGUAGUGUUUCGGACUUGUAGUUUCGGUCUUCUUUACUUUCAGAUACACUUGAAACAGACUUUGUGCUCUAUGCUUUAAUAUAUGGAGUGCGACCGCUUUUUUCUUGGGCAGAUGGGAAAAAAAUUCAUGGUGCUUGAUUAGUGGAAUAUUGCCUGAACUGAUUAUUUAUCACUGAUUCAUUUUGUUUCCUGAUUUAUAGUUUCCUAUGUGGACCUGCAAGAUUGCUACCAGGUGAUAUCUCUUCUUGAAAUUAUUACUGCAGGGAGCGGUAACUUAUCAAAUUCUAUGGGUAAUGCUAUUCACAGCCCAUUUGAAAUUUCAAAUGAACUUUGACAAAAAUGGUUGAAUUUGCCUGAAUUGUGUCCAAAACUUUUUUUCCGUUCAGUAUGGAGCCUUCUGGGAUGGUAGCAGUAACUCCAGUUACUGGAAAAUCCUGGACGGUAACCAGAGGUCUAGAACCCUUGUUUUCAUGAGCUCAUGAGUCCCAAGUCUUAGAUCUGUCAAACGGAAUUGCAAUAUGUUUCUUCCAUUUCCCAUGUAACAUAUAAAAUCAUGUACAUCAUCCUAAACAAAAGCUUAUAAGGCUAAUCAAUUUCACUCUUUGGAUCUUCAGAAACUUGAAACAGCUACUGAUCUAAGUCCCAAGGAGUACUGCUCCAAGCCAUCAUCGCAGCGGCAAGAAGGCCUGGCCACGGAGCUGAGGAAAGCCUCCACCUCCUCCGGCGCGUCCCUUCUGAGCAGGCACAGGACGUAUUCCAUCACCGCCACAUCGCACGGCAGCGUGAUCCGGCCAUCACUCGCGAAGCCGAACUCGUCAUGGGACAUCCUCAGGAGCUCGCCGACGACCACCGUGCUGAGGUACAGCAGCGGCACCUCAAACCGCGCCCCGUCGGCGGUGUACAUCACGCAGUGCCCCUUCACCGCCACCGACGAUGAAGACGAUGUCUCGCAGCACUCAUCGGUCGUCGUCGUUCGUCUGAGUCUCUUCCUCCCAAGUGCUGCCAUCUUCUGCCACUUCUUUGCCAUCUGAGCAAGCCUCUUGGCACUCACCAUCGUUGCUUCUUGCAGAAAGUUCAGAGGUAAGUGUUUUGGUGUCAGGUAUUCAGCUGGCAAACUUGUGGUAGUGCUCUGCUUGUGGAUGGGAAUGGUGGUUAAGACUUAAGAGCUGGUGGAUUUAUAGGCAAGGGAAGGAGAAGAGAAUGGUACAUGCAACAAGAAGUUUUAGGUUCAGCUAUGGAUCGAUGACAAGUUGGACAGAGCCACGAGCCCAGAACAUGCAAUGCUAACUGCAAUGCAAGUGUCAGGCCAAGAUGUAUAGCGAUGUGAUCUUGAUUUGAUACCUCUGGGGCCAAUAUAUGUUUUUGGAUCAUGUCGGAGACAAUCAUACAUCACAUAGCAGUUUGUCUGGUUGGAGAGCCACAGCGUGCUGCCAUACUGACCUCCUUAAUGGCUGAUUAAGAGGCACGCGUGCUUCUUGAGAAGUAUACAUGUGUUGAGAUACAAUUAAACGAUUUGGUUGCUUGCUAAUGGAACUGGAGAUCAUAUCAUGAUUAUCAUCACAUAAAUUGUGCCUGAUUAGCAUGUGCCCCACAUGCCGGUUCCCCACUGAAGUGGUCAGUAUGGCAAUGUCUGCACUGUUAAUAUGCAAGCAAAGCACCGGAAGCAGACCCCCAAAAGCACUAGAUCCGGCAAUUGGUCCCAUUGAAAACCUGGUCAGAAAAUGCGCACGCAGCAUGCAUGCAUCCAUAGGCUUGCCGCUUUCAGCGGCAGCAGCACUCCACACUAGUGCUCAUGGCUUGUCCAUCCCUUCCCAGCUUGCCACACUGACAAGUGCAUGCACCAUCGCUUCGUCAUUUCAGUACCAAAAAACUAAGCCAGGCAGAUUGUAUGACUCUAAAGCAGUCAAAGCUCAAUGUAAGAAAGCCCAGGUACCAACAAAAUAUGUUUACCAGAAUGUAUGCAAGUUCAUAAUCAAAAGGAAUGCAGAAAGCUGGACAACUCAAUACUGAACUUUUAUGUCCACAAGGAAUUACUACAUGUAGCCCAGCAUUGUUUCAGAGCGCAGCGCUUCCCAUUGCCCAUUUGCCCUUGAAAAAACUCUUAUGUUUGGCUAAGUUGCUAUGUCUAAAAGACCAAGCUAUAACUUUGAAUUUUACGCACAAAAAAAAGCUAUAACUUUGAACAUCAUACUGCAGAUAUACAAUACAUGCACUGGAAACAAAACGCAUCAAAGACACCUGCUUCCGCUUGGAAAUGUGACAAACCACAUCCAGAGGAAAUAAAGGUUUUUCUGCAAUCAUUUUUGUUCUAGUCCUGUACUCCUUUACCUAAAAGAAAGAAAGAAAAAAUGCAACAAGGAGCAGUCGUCAUAUGGGACACCGGAAAUCAAACAGAUCAUGUGCUGGACCAGUACAAAGCUUUCAACUGAAUGUUCAGAAAGAAUAGAUUGAGGAGCAUGCAUGAACUGGCAGAACAGAUAUCUCCAUCUCAGGGGCCACUCUAUAUGCUUCUUAUCAUUAGGAUAUAAAUCAAGCAGGUACCCGAAUAAUCAAUUGGUUUUCGUCUAAAAUGAAUAAUGAAUUGCUAUCUCAUUGUGCAAUCAAAGAGAAAUGGACCCAAUUUACAGGUGGUCCUCUUAGUCAUCAGCCACUAACUGAAACAUGUCAGCAUGGCAGCAAACUGUGAUGUCUAAGCACCCUACACUGAUAUUACAAUCCCCAGCAAGUAGAGCAGAGAGAUGGCCCCAGAGGAAUCAAAUCAAGAUCACAAUCGCAUAUAUCUUGGCUUUACACUUGCAGUUAGCAUUGCAUGUUCUGAGCUCAUGGUUCUGUCCCUUGCCAACUUGUCAUAAUAGCUGCACCUGAACUAAACUGCAUGAUGCUACUCUUCUCUUCUCCCUCGUCUAUAAAUUCAUCUGCUUAGUAGUUAGCACCACCAUCUCAUCAUCAGUUCACCCACAAGCCAAGCACUACAACACCUAGCUGAAUAUACAACCUGACACAAAAGUUUCUCUGAACUUUCAGCCAAGAAAUUCAGAAGGAGAAGCAACCAUGGUUAGUGCGAAGAGGCUUGCUCAAAUGGCAAAGAAGUGGCAGAGAAUGGCAGCCAUGGGGAGGAAGAGGCUCAAGCGGACGACAUCGACAAGAGCAGCCGACGAGUGCUGCACGACGUCAUCGGUGGCGGUAAAGGGCCACUGCGUCGUGUACACCGCCGACAGGGGUCGGUUUGAGGUGCCGUUACAGUACCUCGGCACGGCCGUCUUUAGUGAGCUCCUGAGGAUGUCUCAGGAGGAAUUUGGUUUCGCAGGCGGCGAUGAUGGCCGGAUCACGCUGCCCUGCGACGCCGCUGUCAUGGAGUACGCCAUGUGCUUGCUCGGGAAAGAUGCCUCCGCGGAAGUCGUGAAGGCCUUCCUGAGCUCCGUCGCGACGCCCUGCUGGUUUGACGGCGGUGUGGUGGCGCCAUGCGUAGGGUUUAACCAGCAUGUAGCCGUUUGCUAGCUUCAGAAGAAUGGCAGCUGCUACUGCUAGGAUCCUUGUUGUAGCCACCGUUUUGGUUCGACGCAAAGUGUAAAUAUGAAGUACUAGUUGGUUAGAAAUGGAACAGUUUUUUAACCGUUGAGGUAUAAAUGAAGGAACCUUCUUUCUCUGUCAGCUUAGCCUUUAUUGGGUGAAUUGGUUCAACCUCAAGGAAAACCACAUGAUCUGGCACCUUCCGCUACAUCGACACGAAGUACCAUAAACGGGGAUGCUCGGCAUGUCAUGCUGCUUCUCAUCACGACCAAGCCACCAAUCACCAAUGGCGCCGUCUUGUCUCCGGAUAGGACUUGCUUAGAGAUUUUUUUUUCCUUAUUUUUAUGUAAUAAAGUGGCACAUUUGGUACUUUGUGACUGUGUGAGUCCCGUGCGCACAAGUGGGGGGUUGAUGCCCUGUUGGUUAACUCGGUUGUAUCGCUUGAUAUAUAAUGUUGAGAUCAAUCUAUAAUCUUCUAUUUUCGAAAAAAUAAAUGAAAUGAGCAGCUCUAUUGGACCAAAUUUCUCGGUUAGAACCUGAGAUGCAGCGUAUUUUGUUUGUGAACAUAAGGCUAACAAUUUUUAACGAUAUGCAAAUUGUUCUAACCGUUCUUGCAAAUUCAAGCCUUUUUUUUCAUAUGGUCAGAAGACCGUAUUCUACUACUGUCAUGAAGAUAACGGAACAAAGUACUGAACCCAAGUUUCAACCCCGCACGGAAGUUUUUCACAUACCUGCCGCAUAUCGCUAACAAGAACACAAGCCAACUACCAAAAUAUUGUACUUCCUCCGUCCAACAAAGAUGUCUCAAUUUUGACUAAAUUUGAAUGCAUCUAUACACUAAGUCAUGUCUAGAUACAUUCAAAUUUUGACAAACUUGAGACAUUUUUUGUUGGACGGAAGCAGUACAUGUAAUGGAACUGGAGAUGCCCGAUUAACAUAUGGCCCACAUGCUGAUUCAGAGGGGAACUUGCCAGUAUGUCAAUGCAUGCACCCUUGGAUGUGAAACCAAUGAAGUAAGCAAAGCACUGGAACCUAGCAACUACUAGAUCAGGCAAUUAGCCCCAUCAAAAACAUGGUCAGAGGUUUCUCAAAAAAAAAAAAACAUGGUCAGAGAAAGUUUAAGCAUUGCAUUUGCACCUGCUCAUGGAUUUGCCCCUUCCUUCCCAGCUUGCCGCACUGACAAGUGCAUGCACUUCACCCAGCCUUUCCCCCAUCUUGCUUUUCCAUCGCCUAUAAAUUAAGGCACUGAAACAGAUCAAUUGCACUAUGACCAUCACUACCAAAAAACCAAUCAUCACUUUCUAAUUAUGCCAAGCAGAUUUGUAUGUUUCCAAACUGAAAGAACUCAAUGCGAGAUUAAAGGACAUGCAUGUACCAAAAUAUGAUCUCUAAAUAUAUGCAGGUUCAGAACUAAAAGUGCUGCGGAAAGCUGGACAACUCAAUGCUGAACAUGUAUGUCCAGAAGGAAUUAAUACAUGUGGCCUAGCAUUCUUAGAGAGUUUUCCAUUCUUGAGUUAUUCUUAUGUUUGCAUAAAUAGAUAUUUCUAAGAAACCAUACUAUAACUGGAAACAUCGCAUUUCAAAUAUAAUACAUGCAUGUAUUGAAACCAAACAGUCAACAGAAAGCCCAUCAGAGACAUCUGUUUCAGCUUGGCAACGUGAUAAAACCACUUUCAGAUGAAACAAACGUCGCUUUGCAAUCACUUUGGUGCUUACUCCUGUACCCAAAAUAAAUAAAAUGCAAGGAGCAAGCCCAUGUGAUAUGCCGGAAAUCAAGCAGGUCUAGUUUCAUCUGAAAGUGUACAGAGAAUAGAUAUAUUAGGGGCAUGAACAAUGCAUAUCACAAUGUGAGGAAUCCAUCAGGAGAAGCAAAUAGGUAGCGUAACUGAUCAGUGCUCACCGAAAUUGUUCAGUCCCUGAACCUGGAUGCCAUCGCUGUCUCCUUGCAAUUGCCGAUAGCCAUGAUCUCGGCACGCCUCUUGUUCUCAACGCGUUCAGUAUGGCAGCCACACAUGAUAAGAA